AUGUUUCAGAUAGAAUAGAAUAAAUGUCAUUUAUGUUUGAAAUUCCCUAACUACCCAGAAAACUCAUAUAAUUCGUAUUUUGGUAAAAAUGUUUAUAUUGCACUAACACACUUACACUCACACGGGCACACAAUUCUACAGCUUUCCCUUUACACUGCAAAGCGUUUAAAGGAAAGGUCUAGUUCCAGCUGUAUCGGCAGGGUCAGCCGAACAGAUGGGUCUGCUUUACCCCAGCUAUACACUAGUACACAGUAAUCAUCAUGUCUUAUAUAAAACAUGUGGAAUAGUUCAGACAUCAAUAUCAAAUGUGAGUGAGAAUAAAAACUUAAACCUCAAGAUCAAAGCACACCUGAACCCGAAAGAAAGUUUAAAUUUGGAGUGAAAAUACUUAAAACAGUGUGUGAAAAAAUAGUUUUAUAAAAUGAAAACCUGAAACUUAAACUGAAACUUAAAGGAGGAAGAGAAACAGGAGAGAUCCGUGAUCCCUACACCGGGAUUUUAUAACAUGGAUCUUGGAUUCCUAAUUCUGGAUUGAGUGUAUUCUAGAAUCCUGGAUUGAGUGUGCAAGAAUCCUGGAUUGUGUGUUCAAAUAAUAGGAUCCUGGAAGUGUGUAUAUUAGAAUCCUGGAUCCCUAAACCUGGAUUGAGAGUAUUCUAGGAUCCUGGAUUGAGUGUAUACUAGAAUCCUGGAUCCCUAAACCUGGAUUGAGAGUAUUCUAGGAUCCUGGAUUGAGUGUAUACUAGGAUCCUGGACUGUGUGUGUAAGGAUCCUGGAUUUAAUGUAUACUAGAAUCCUGGAUUGAAUGCUGGGAUCCCAAUGGUUGAAUCCCAGUCUCCGGUAUGCAGGUUCACCAGUCUCACCAGUUUCAGGAUCAGGACAGGACGGAUCUCCUCUCUAUUAGAUCAGCUCAACGUAGGAUUGAUUUACUCCAUGAGGUUGGAUCAAUACACUCAGGGUCCCACAGAACCCGGAGUGUUUAUACCCAACCUCCUCCCAUCCAUAAACCAUUCAUUCAGACAGUUAAAAAUGGCCUUAGAAUUAUUAUAGCCUGGAUAUUUAGUAAUGUCGGAAUCUGUGUUCUUGUUGUUGGAUAUUUGGUUCUUGGAGCUCUCAUGUUCAAGGAAUUGGAGGAUUUCGAGACCAGUUCACCGCACAGGAUCGUUAAGGUUCGUGAGCUGACGGUCGAGCUGCUCUGGAACAUCACUGAGAAGUAUAACCUCCUUCAUCCUGGCAACUGGAGCCUCGAGGUCGAAACUAUAGUUAAACAAUACCAGAGAGAGGUUGUUGCUGCUGAGGCCCAGGGGUUCGACGGGAAUGAUAUUCCUCAAUCUCCCUGGGAUUUCUCAGGGGCUCUACUCUUCUCUAUAACUGUGAUAACUACCAUAGGAUAUGGGCAUAUUGUUCCUUUAACUCCUGUUGGUAAAAUAGUAACAAUAUUCUACGCUGUACUCGGAGUACCUCUCUUCCUUCUCUACCUCUCAAAUAUAGGAAAUAUUUUAGCCUCCAGCUUUAAAUGGACGUAUUCAAGAAUAUGUAAAUGUGAACUGGCAAAGAGAAGGAGAAAUGAUAAGUAUAGAGUACAAGCGCUCACACAACAAAUUCAUCCAGGGAUGAUAAGACUGACGGAGGAGGGGAAACCACAGGAUUCAGUGUCUGCAGCUGAAAGUUAUUCUGAAAGUUCUAGAAUAGAAGAACCUCAAUAUAUUCAGAACUUUGAGGAAACUAGUCAGGUUGCUGUCCCAAUAACGUUAAGUUUGACUGUAAUGAUAAGUUAUAUAUGUGGUGGAGCAAUACUAUUCGGAGAAUGGGAAGGAUGGAAUUUUCUAGACGGAUUCUACUUCUGUUUCAUUUCACUCAGUACGAUUGGGUUUGGAGAUAUACUACCUGGAGAUGCAAUGGACCAGGAUGAGAGUGAGGCCAAGCUGGCUGGUGUCGUCAACAUCCAGUUUAUCUUCUGCAGCCUCUACAUCCUCCUCGGUAUGGCCGUCAUAGCUAUGUGCUUCAACCUGAUGCAGGAGAAGGUCGUCUGGGGGGUCAUUGCCCUCGGAAGAAAACUUGGGAUCGUCAAAUAUGAUUAGACCUCUCUACUCUUAAAAUACUUUUAGCACAUCUUUUUGGUGAUUUUUUCUACCCUGUGAAGUGACAUUCCUUAAAGAAUACAGAAACCAGUGACAUUCAAUAAACAUGAACUCCCUAGGCUCUAACAUAAAAUCAAUAACCUUUGUAUAGACAGAGAAAUGUGAUAAUUUCAUUUAACUGUUAAAAAACACUUUUGUUGUUUCAUUUGAAAUAUAAAUAAGUAAAAAUUUUGUUUACCACCUUUUGACCAAAAUUACAGACCUAUGAUUCCCACAAUAUUGGGAGGUUAAGUUACUUUACACCCUUUGGGACAAUUAAUUAAGAUAA
Molecule: unclassified non-coding RNA, 2406 nt
Filed under: Eurytemora carolleeae
Lineage: Eukaryota; Metazoa; Arthropoda; Copepoda; Calanoida; Temoridae
Description: tWiK family of potassium channels protein 7
Source: RNAcentral